UGCGGGGGUUGCUGAGCUAGGAAAAGGCACAGGGCUUAGGACCCUGUCUCGUAGGAGUCCGCGUGUUCAAAUCACGCCCCCCGCAU
Molecule: transfer RNA, 86 nt
Filed under: Candidatus Methanophaga sp. GoMg3.2
Lineage: Archaea; Methanobacteriati; Methanobacteriota; Methanomicrobia; Candidatus Methanophagales; Candidatus Methanophagaceae
Also listed under: 1 other name
Description: tRNA-Leu
Rfam family: tRNA
About the family: Transfer RNA (tRNA) molecules are approximately 80 nucleotides in length.
Source: RNAcentral